CCUAUGAUAGAGGCGAACACAAAGGUGUUCCAUUAAGUUUUUUGGACAUUCGAUCCAAGCAUUCGAGGCUUCUAGUUCUGCCACCUCUAAAUUAGUAUUGAUGCAAUGCAUCUGUAUGAUCGAUAUAAGGACACUCUCAUGAUAGCUAUGGAGAGGGAUAGAAAUGAGGGUAUCUAUCCUCUAGUAUUUGUCAUUUGUGAAGACGAGAGCUAUAGUAGUUGCUUAAAAUUUUUAUGAUAUUUGCACCAUUACGUGGCACGUGACCGUAUGGAGAUCGGCAUAGUCUCAGAUCGAUAUAAAAAAAUAGUAGCUGUUGUUUUAAAUGAAUCUGUUGGAUGGAUAGUGCCAUAUAGAU
This 355-nucleotide long non-coding RNA is filed under the name Elaeis guineensis (African oil palm). RNAcentral describes it as "long non-coding RNA (EGUI_LNC009541)". Lineage: Eukaryota; Viridiplantae; Streptophyta; Magnoliopsida; Arecales; Arecaceae. The record is from RNAcentral.